AUUAAACGCUGGCGGCAUGCCUUACACAUGCAAGUCGAACGGCAGCACGGGGGCAACCCUGGUGGCGAGUGGCGAACGGGUGAGUAAAGCAUCGGAACGUGCCCUGGAGUGGGGGAUAACGUAGCGAAAGUUACGCUAAUACCGCAUAUUCUGUGAGCAGGAAAGCAGGGGAUCGCAAGACCUUGCGCUCUGGGAGCGGCCGAUGUCGGAUUAGCUAGUUGGUGGGGUAAAGGCCUACCAAGGCGACGAUCCGUAGCGGGUCUGAGAGGAUGAUCUGCCACACUGGAACUGAGACACGGUCCAGACUCCUACGGGAGGCAGCAGUGGGGAAUCUUGCGCAAUGGGCGAAAGCCUGACGCAGCGACGCCGCGUGGGUGAUGAAGGCCUUCGGGUCGUAAAGCUCUGUGGGGAGAGGACGAAUAAGACGUGGCUAAUAUCCACGGCGAUGACGGUAUCUCCUUAGCAAGCACCGGCGUAACUCUGUGCCAGCAGCCG
Molecule: ribosomal RNA, 495 nt
Filed under: uncultured bacterium
Lineage: Bacteria
Description: bacterial SSU rRNA
Rfam family: Bacterial small subunit ribosomal RNA
Source: RNAcentral